This 390-nucleotide ribosomal RNA is filed under the name Pseudomonas sp. Its description in RNAcentral is "bacterial SSU rRNA". It matches the Rfam family "Bacterial small subunit ribosomal RNA", at positions 138 to 523 of the family's 1533-position model. Lineage: Bacteria; Pseudomonadati; Pseudomonadota; Gammaproteobacteria; Pseudomonadales; Pseudomonadaceae. The record is from RNAcentral.
GGGGGAUAACGUUCGGAAACGGACGCUAAUACCGCAUACGUCCUACGGGAGAAAGCAGGGGACCUUCGGGCCUUGCGCUAUCAGAUGAGCCUAGGUCGGAUUAGCUAGUUGGUGGGGUAAUGGCUCACCAAGGCGACGAUCCGUAACUGGUCUGAGAGGAUGAUCAGUCACACUGGAACUGAGACACGGUCCAGACUCCUACGGGAGGCAGCAGUGGGGAAUAUUGGACAAUGGGCGAAAGCCUGAUCCAGCCAUGCCGCGUGUGUGAAGAAGGUCUUCGGAUUGUAAAGCACUUUAAGUUGGGAGGAAGGGCAGUUACUUAAUACUUUGCUGUUUUGACGUUACCGACAGAAUAAGCACCGGCUAACUCUGUGCCAGCAGCCGCGGUAA